This 313-nucleotide long non-coding RNA is filed under the name Elaeis guineensis (African oil palm). RNAcentral's name for it is "long non-coding RNA (EGUI_LNC027558)". Lineage: Eukaryota; Viridiplantae; Streptophyta; Magnoliopsida; Arecales; Arecaceae. The record is from RNAcentral.
AGUCGACUCAGUGGAUGUUUGAGCCGACUCAGUAUCAGUGAUAAAAAGCUAAAUUUUUGGAUGCAGGAGACUUAGUCAAUCCAGAUUCAGCUUAGUCGACUAAGACAGAUUAUUAAUCGACUAAGUCAAAAAGUUAGUCAACUCAGUCUUAGAGGACAGCAGUAAGACAGAAAGGUAGAUUUUUAAACUUUGUCCACUUAGCCGACCAAGUCAAAAUUGAGCGGACCAAGAUAGGAGAGUUAGUCGACUCAGAUGUUCAGUUAGUCGACUCAGUCUUAGAGGAUAGACAGCACAGAAACUAAAAUUUUGGAUC